Molecule: ribosomal RNA, 443 nt
Filed under: uncultured bacterium
Lineage: Bacteria
Description: partial 16S ribosomal RNA
Rfam family: Bacterial small subunit ribosomal RNA
Source: RNAcentral
CCUACGGGUGGCAGCAGUGGGGAAUAUUGGGCAAUGGAGGCAACUCUGACCCAGCAAUGCCGCGUGAGUGAUGAAGGUAAUUUUAUUGUAAAGCUCUUUUCUUUGGAACGAAUAAAUGACGGUACCAAAGGAAUAAGCCCCGGCUAACUGCGUGCCAGCAGCCGCGGUAAAACGGAGGGGGCAAGCGUUGUUCGGAAUGACUGGGCGUAAAGGGAGUGUAGGUGGUUUGAUAAGUUAGAUGUGUAAUACCCAGGGCUUAACUCGGGUGCUGCAUUUAAAACUGUUAGACUUGAGUACGGGAGAGGUAAGUGGAAUUCCUAGGGUAGCGGUGAAAUGCGUAGAUAUUAGGAGGAACAUCAGAGGCGAAGGCGACUAUCUGGACAGAAACUGACGCUGAGGCACGAAAGCGUGGGGAGCAAACAGGAUUAGAUACCCGAGUAGUC